This is a long non-coding RNA of Salvia splendens (bonfire salvia), 1814 nucleotides long. RefSeq lists it as uncharacterized. Lineage: Eukaryota; Viridiplantae; Streptophyta; Magnoliopsida; Lamiales; Lamiaceae. The record is from RefSeq and is a predicted model, not a curated record. The transcript is spliced from 2 exons.
AGUGUGAGUGUGUGUGUUUCUGCAUUGUGUGAUCUCAUACAACAGUGAGUGUGUGUGUGAUCUUCUUGAGUGUGUGAAAGCCUUGUGUGCGUAAAUCCCAACAGCAUGCAUUCUUUGGGACUCCAGGUUCGUGCAAUGAUAUUAAUGUACUCCAUCGGUCUCCUGUUUUUGAUGAUGUCUUAGAAGGUCGAGCACCAUAUGUUAAUUACGUAGUGAAUGGUCAUCAAUAUAAUAUGGCGUAUUAUCUUACUGAUGGCAUAUAUCCUGCAUGAGCUACAUUUGUCAAGUCAAUCACUUCUCCACAAACUCAAAAGCAUAAGUUGUUUGCUCAACACCAAGAGUCUAUUAGAAAAGAUGUUGAGCGAGCAUUUGGAGUCCUACAAGCACGUUUUGCAUUUUUGCGAAGGCCGUGUCUUGUAUGGGAUAAGAUUUUGAUGGGAAAAAUUAUGAUGGCUUGUAUCAUCAUGCAUAAUAUGAUAGUAGAAGAUGAACGUGAUACAUAUCAAAAUUAUUAUGAUGCCACUGAGUUUAUUCAAGAUACGCAUACAAGAGUACAUGAAGAAAAUGUUGAAGCCUUUCGCUAUUCCACUCAACGGAUCGGGAGCUUGUCAUCAUAUAUGACUAAUCGAGCUCAACUCCGCAAUAGAGAAGCUCAUAUUGCUCUUCGAGAAGAUUUGAUUGAGCACAGACAAUUAAAUAUGUACUAAUGUUUAUCUUAUUUAAGUUAGCUUUUUUUUCACUCUUCAUUUGUAUUUUGGUUUGUUUAUUUCUAUUAUCGCCUUGUAUUCUUUAAUGUGUGUAAUUUGUUAUUAUAUUGUGCUUUAAUUAUUUGAAUAUCUAAUAUUUUCUGUUUUAAAUUUGAAUCAUAUAUUUUUUAUUAUAAUUGUUAGACAUUAUUUAAUAUAUCUAAAUUAACUAUAAAUUAAAAUAUUAAUAUAAAAUAUAUGAAAAAGAAGAUAUUUAAUUGGGUUGGGUUGGGGUCACUGAUGGAAGUAAAAAAAGUUGAUGGGGGUUGAAUUGAUGGAGAGUUGUGUAUGUAGAAGAUAGAGAAAUGAAUAUUAUAUUAAAAAGUUGAUUGAGGUUGAGUUGGAUGAGUGUCACAGAUGGAGAUAGUCUAAGAAAGAGGAGGAGGGGCAAGCUCGAAUGAACAUGGAGAGGAAACAAGCUGAGCUGUACAACCAAGAGGCUGCCUCAUUAGGCAGUAAGACAACCAUUUUGUCACAUUCCCCUCUUACACCAAAGUAGAGGUUAGAACAAAGAAGCAUAGAAGAAUGAGCCCAAUGUUCAUGCUCAAAAUGAGUAUGAAUCAGAUCCCAUUUUCCAUCACCAAGGCUGGGAGAAAACUGCCAAGGAGGGCAGCCCCAAACAUUCACCAAUGUAGUAAGAGUAGCAGUAUCACAAGCUUGAAAAGGAGCUGAGAAAACAACCCCAAAAUAGCAUCACAACCUCACAAAAAUCAAGCACAAGAUGCCAAUUGUUUGAGAGCUAUAUAAACAAGCCCCCUCACCACUCCCUUCUCCCCGAUAAUUCGACGCUAUCGCGAGAAGUGCAGCGAAGGGGAGGGAAGAGGAGCGAGGGCGGCGAGAGAUCGGUCCACAACCGAGAAAGGUCACCAAGCAAGGUUGAGCAGUGAUGACGGCGGGCGGUGUUGAGCAUAGAUGAUGAAUAUCCUUCGAUUGAAUAGUACUCGGAUGCGACGUGUCUCCAUACACGACGUUAUCUGCUCUUGACUCUUCCGCUGCAAUGUAAAAGUCGAGUUUGCGCUCUUUGUAUCGUGCACUCUGAUAUAUAUUAUUUGAGUUAUUUCGGUUCAA